Molecule: long non-coding RNA, 146 nt
Organism: Cucurbita maxima (winter squash)
Lineage: Eukaryota; Viridiplantae; Streptophyta; Magnoliopsida; Cucurbitales; Cucurbitaceae
Exons: 2
Source: RefSeq, a predicted model, not a curated record
AUCGAUGGAAGAGGGGAAUGAAACAUUUCUUAUAAAGAGUUGACAUGAAAUGGAUCAUGGAAGAAGAUGUAUCUGAUGAAUGAAUGAUUCAAUCCCCUCUUUGAACCGAUACCUUCAAUCUUUAGUCUUAUAGUUUUUUUUUUAUC